UAGGGGAAUAUUGGACAAUGGGCGCAAGCCUGAUCCAGCCAUACCGCGUGGGUGAAGAAGGCCUUCGGGUUGUAAAGCCCUUUUGUUGGGAAAGAAAUCCAGCCGGCUAAUACCUGGUUGGGAUGACGGUACCCAAAGAAUAAGCACCGGCUAACUUCGUGCCAGCAGCCGCGGUAAUA
Molecule: ribosomal RNA, 179 nt
Filed under: uncultured Pseudomonas sp.
Lineage: Bacteria; Pseudomonadati; Pseudomonadota; Gammaproteobacteria; Pseudomonadales; Pseudomonadaceae
Description: partial 16S ribosomal RNA
Rfam family: Bacterial small subunit ribosomal RNA
Source: RNAcentral